UAAUUGUUUUUACUCCUCUGGGCACUGAGAUGUAGGUUGUUUCUUCUUCUUCUUCUUCUUCUUCUUCCUUCUUUCUUCUUCUUCUUCUUCCUUCUUCCUUCUUCUUCUUCUUCCUUCUUCUUCUUCCUUCUUCUUCUUCUUCUUCCUUCUUCUUCUUCUUCUUCCUUCUUCUUCUUCUUCCUUCUUCUUCUUCUUCUUCUUCUUCCUUCUUCUUCUUCUUCUUCCUUCUUCUUCUUCUUCUUCCUUCUUCCUCUUCUUCUUCUUCUUCUUCUUCUUCUUCUUCUUUCUUCUUCUUCUUUCUUCUUCUUUCUUCUUCAACUUCUCUAGAAUUGAUUUAUUAAGGGAGGGCAAUGAGAGAUUAAGUAAGUUGGGGCAGUUAGGUGGCUCAGGGCUAGAGAACCAAGAGGUUCUAGGUUCAAAUUUGACCUCAGAGUCUUUCCAACAAGUCUGUGUAACCCUAGGCAAGUCAUUUAACCUAGUUGCCUAAUCCUUUUAUCACUCUUCUUCCUUGGAACAGAUAUUUAGUAUAAAUUCUAAGAUAGAGGGUAAGGGUUCAAAAAUUGAUUGACAUUUAUGUCAGAAACAGAAUCUGAACCCAGAUUUUAUUGACUGAUGUCAGCUCUCUGGCUAUUAUGCUACAGUUAGCUGCCUCUAAGUCUACACAGAAUUAACACAAGGCAAUUUUAUUGCGGUUCAGUUGUUUUUAGUCAUGAUGGACUCUUUGUGAUCCCAUUUGGAAUUUUCUUGGCAAAGAUACUGAUAUGGUUUGCCAUUUCCUUCUCUAGCUUAUUUUACAGAUGAGUAAACUGAAGUAAAAAAAGGUUAAAUGUCUUGUUUAGAGUCAUAUAGCUAGUAAGGGUCUGAGGCUAGAUUUGAACUCAGAUCUUCCUGACUCCAGGCUCAGCCCUCUAUCUACUGCACCAACUCACUGCCCCUAUUUUUGAAAAUUACCUAAAAGAAUAUCAGAAAGCAUACUGGGGUUGGUAUAAUUUAUUUUGUUUAUACUUUGGGGAUUGGUUAGUCAUUGGCUAUUUCUACAAACAAGUCUAUGUUGGGAACAGGAGGAGACAGGAAGUAAGUAAGAAGAGCCAGGGCCAGUUUACAAUCACUGUCUUUGUCAUAAUGUUUCAAAUUCCUAACAAACAACUAUUCUCUGAACUUCAUUUCUCACCCCACCAUUGAAAACUCCCUGUCU
Molecule: long non-coding RNA, 1195 nt
Organism: Monodelphis domestica (gray short-tailed opossum)
Lineage: Eukaryota; Metazoa; Chordata; Mammalia; Didelphimorphia; Didelphidae
Source: Ensembl